AUGAUACUGGCACAUGCAUCUGUUACUAGACUUUACAGAGAAAAAUAUCGAGCCGUGCAAAUGGGAGUUGUUGGCAUAAAUGUUUACUCCCAUUGGACUUAUCCUUUGACGAACUCUACUCUUGAUUUAGCAGCAAACAAAAGAUAUCAGGACUUCCUGUUCGGUUUGAUACUAGAACCCUUGGUGUUCGGAGAUUACCCCCGAGUGAUAAAGACGAAUGCUGGUUCCCGCCUUCCAUCCUUCACAAAACUACAAUCUGAAUUUGUCAAGGGUGCUAUUGAUUUCAUAGGAAUAAAUCACUACUAUUCUGUCUAUGCGAGCGAUCGUCCUCUAAAGAAUGGUGUUCGCGACUAUGCAGCAGACAUGUCAGUUUACAAGAGAGCUUCUAGAACAGACCCGGCAGUAAGUGAGGAUGUGCCAACAGCAUUUCCAGAUGACCCAAAAGGAUUACAAUUUGUGUUGCAGUACCUGGCAAAAGUCUAUGGUGACCUGCCCAUUUAUGUCCAAGAGAAUGGUAAGGCAUCUACCAACGACACUCUCGAUGACACUGACAGGGUCAAAUACUUGAAGAGCUACAUAGGGAGCACACUGGCGGCAUUAAGAACCGGAGUCAAUGUGAAAGGUUACUUUGCGUGGAACUUCAUGGACAUGUUCGAGUUCCUCGCAGGGUACAAUACACGGUACGGCCUGUACCGUGUCGACUUCGACGAUGAGGCGCGGCCAAGGGAGGCCAGGCUCUCUGCUUGCUGGUACUCCAGCUUUCUGGAAAACAAUGGCAUCCAUUUUCGGAGCGAGCUCGAUAAUAAAGGAUCCCAUGCUCAACAGUGA
RNAcentral lists this ribosomal RNA (828 nucleotides) under Triticum aestivum (bread wheat). Its description in RNAcentral is "partial small subunit ribosomal RNA". The record is from RNAcentral. Lineage: Eukaryota; Viridiplantae; Streptophyta; Magnoliopsida; Poales; Poaceae.